UUCGCUAUAGCCUCCUCCGGAAUCACCAUCGAAUGAAGACCAUCCCUGUUAGUGAUCUCAACAUUGAACUUCUUCAACACCUUUUUGUCUUAGGCAGCAGACACCCAACUUAGCCCAAGCUUCGGAAUGGUAGGUAGAUCUGACUUCCCCACCGUAGAACCCUCGUCGCGAACCUCCGUAACCAUCUUAUCCCUCGUCGGAGAGACAGGAGAACCCGGCGGUGCAGCCGAAUCCAUCCUCAAAACCCUAGCUCCAAAUCGCCUCAGAA
RNAcentral lists this long non-coding RNA (268 nucleotides) under Brassica napus (rape). RNAcentral describes it as "long non-coding RNA (BNAP_LNC026327)". The record is from RNAcentral. Lineage: Eukaryota; Viridiplantae; Streptophyta; Magnoliopsida; Brassicales; Brassicaceae.